GGGGGCUCAUGACAGGAUGCAGCUAGAAACUGCUAUGACCCCAUUGUUGCCGGGUGGAUGUUCGUCUGUAAACCCGACCCGGCACUUUGUAACCAGUAGGGUUCUGUAAGCCCAUGCUCUUGAAUAUGCAUGAGGAGAAGGCCUUUAAAAACGGAGGAGAGGAAGAGGACGAGGCUUGCCCUUGUUUUUCCGACCUGGCGGUCUCGCCCGCGGGACUCCACGACAUCUUUUUGAACCCUUUUUGAACAUUCUUUCUCAUUCUUUUUGAUACAUUAUAACCCAUCGUUUUUGUAAAACCUUAAUAAAACCGGAUUUGUAUUUUGUGCAACUCCAACCAAACUCCAGUCUCGCUCCAUCUCUAAGAAAGAGCCCUAGCCAGCCUUAAGUGACUGUGCAGCUACUAGUUGAGAGGUGCGGAGGUGAGUCUUACUUCAGGAUUUUAUCCUUGGGCACAGUGUAUGGUUGGAUCUCCACUGGAAGCUGCUCCUUGUUCUCCCGUGUAAUGAUCUAGAGAAACGCAGACAGCGGGAAAUCAGAUUCUCUCCUGUGAUUUGAGGGUGGGGAACAACCUCUCACAAGGCUCGGUGGUUGCAGGGGUUGACAGCCCGACAUGUGCUGUUUCUCUCUUCGACCAGCACUGCAGCGGACACCCCUCCAUGUCCAUUUUGGGCUCUGCUUUGUAACGGUCUAUAAUAUAAAUUCUUAAUUUAGGAACUUUGCUCUAUAGGUUUCUGCUGUGUCUGCAAUUUCCUUUUGCUCAUCAAACAUGACCUUUGCUCUGCCAAACAUGUUGUUCGACUAGUAUGAACCGACGAACCCCAUGAGGACACGCCAAUCAAACAGUACGCCCCCACAGCCUCUGCAGGGAGAGGACAAGGUUUGCCUCUUAGCAAACAGUCGUACGGUGCCUACAAAAGAGGAGUAUAAAAGACAAAGGAGUUCUCAGGCCCUGAAGCCAUCCCUGGUACUCAGCUGAAUAGUACUGCUUUGACUCCGUCGGCCUGUUUUUGCUGGCCUGACUAAUUUUUUAAACUCAACUGAUUCUGUAAUAAACUACCUGAAACUCAGUCGAGUGUAAUACUUUUAUUUCUCACGACGGAAACAAUACACUAAUUUCCACUACACGGACCACACAUUGUUCUAUGGACUCUUCCUCUUCAUCUGUAUCCGUGUCAGAAGAACUCAGCAAGAAGACAGACAUCCUCUUCUUUGGCGGCUGUUCCUCUGCUGUCUCUGCAGAUGGUUGUUGUGCAUCACCAGGUUGCGUACUGAAGCCCACACCUCACUCCUUUCAGCUUUGGGCAGACACUUCAGGUCCUUAAACCUGGGGUCAAGUGCAGUAGCCAUCUUCAGCCAUGUGAGGAUGGUGCUGUCCCUCUGUUUAGCUUGGUCUGUGGUAAAGACUUUUUAUAACUUGCUGUCCUCUUCAUUCCUGAGAGUUUGAUGGACUGUGCUCGAAGUCCCAGGCAAUCUUGAAUCCACUGUGGUGAAGGGAAACUGUGACUGUGGGCCGUGCAGGGCAGGUGUUCGGAUGGAAGUAGUCUCGCGGCUGCGACCAACGUUACGAGCACUGUCAGUGCCGAGAGUGGUUAACUUUGCCUCGAUUUGCCAUUCUUUUGCGAAUCUAAAGAAAAUGAUCAGCACAUGCCUCAGCAUGGUGUCGCUCUUCUGUUUUACUCAGUCAGAUUCCAUUCUUUAUCAAUGAAGUGCGCUCUGACGCCCAAGUACUUGUCAUUGCUCACAGAAGUCCAAGGGUCCCCUGGAGAGCGACGCGCUCUCUCGCUGUCAUACGUGUGUAUUCUUGACAUGAGGGUUCCUCUCGGGGGCAGAUUAUAAGAGGUGUCUCCCGAUGCAAUUUGAAUGAUUUCUCUCAUUUAAUCCAGUAAGCCAAAGCAUUCGUUACCUUCUCACUUACACUUGUUGGCCCUGUAGUUUCGGUAGGAUGUUUUGCCUUGAGGGUGAUAUUUCAAAGACAAAUUAAUUCUGUGGUAAUAAAAUUCGGCUUUGCAAACUGUGCAAAUACAUCUGUUCUCUCCAAAGAUCCGUCGGGCUACUUUUUAAAGUAUCCGUAUCCAUCUUUAGCCAGAAUAGGUUAGGUCACUGAGGGACUUUUUAUUGUUAUUAAAUGUAUUACUGAUCAAUAUUAAAGAGAUAGUUCAGUGAUUUCUAAGUGGGGUUGUAUGAGUUACUUACACAUACACAUAGGUCAGCCACCACAGGAAGUAAACAAAACGCAGCUGUGUGUGUGAAUGUGUGCAGUAAACUGCAGUGUUGUAUGAAUGUGUGUGAAUGUGACUUGAGUGGUCAAUAAGGCUAGAAAAGUGCUCACCUCAUAGUACGAGUCUGGGGGUUCAGUGGUGGCACUGCUGACUCCUUGUAGAUCAGUAGGUAUCCAUGGUAACAGGCGGCAUUGCCUCAGCAGGGGGUUGAUCUCUCCAUAUGUGUAAUCACGGGUUACUUCAUCUGUGGAGAAAUAAUCCUGAUAUGUAAAAUGUUGUGGCACGAACACACACACACACACACAGACACACGCACACGCACACGCAGGGCAUGUAGAGGGCAUUUGAUGGGCAUGUA
Long non-coding RNA from Scophthalmus maximus (turbot), 2577 nucleotides. RefSeq lists it as uncharacterized. The transcript has 3 exons. The record is from RefSeq and is a predicted model, not a curated record. Lineage: Eukaryota; Metazoa; Chordata; Actinopteri; Pleuronectiformes; Scophthalmidae.